RNAcentral lists this ribosomal RNA (748 nucleotides) under uncultured bacterium. RNAcentral describes it as "bacterial SSU rRNA". It matches the Rfam family "Bacterial small subunit ribosomal RNA", at positions 93 to 844 of the family's 1533-position model. The record is from RNAcentral.
GACCGGCGCACGGGUGAGUAACACGUAUCCAACCUGCCGAUAACUCGGGGAUAGCCUUUCGAAAGAAAGAUUAAUAUCCGAUAGCAUAUCAAGAUCGCAUGAUCUUGAUAUUAAAGAAUUUCGGUUAUCGAUGGGGAUGCGUUCCAUUAGUUAGUUGGCGGGGUAACGGCCCACCAAGACGACGAUGGAUAGGGGUUCUGAGAGGAAGGUCCCCCACAUUGGAACUGAGACACGGUCCAAACUCCUACGGGAGGCAGCAGUGAGGAAUAUUGGUCAAUGGACGAGAGUCUGAACCAGCCAAGUAGCGUGAAGGAUGACUGCCCUAUGGGUUGUAAACUUCUUUUAUAUGGGAAUAAAACAGGGUAUGCAUACCCUCUUGUAUGUACCAUAUGAAUAAGGAUCGGCUAACUCCGUGCCAGCAGCCGCGGUAAUACGGAGGAUCCGAGCGUUAUCCGGAUUUAUUGGGUUUAAAGGGAGCGUAGGUGGAUUGUUAAGUCAGUUGUGAAAGUUUGCGGCUCAACCGUAAAAUUGCAGUUGAAACUGGCAGUCUUGAAUACAGUAGAGGUGGGCGGAAUUCGUGGUGUAGCGGUGAAAUGCUUAGAUAUCACGAAGAACUCCGAUUGCGAAGGCAGCUCACUGGACUGCAACUGACACUGAUGCUCGAAAGUGUGGGUAUCAAACAGGAUUAGAUACCCUGGUAGUCCACACAGUAAACGAGGAAUACUCGCUGUUUGCGAUAUAGGUAAGC